GAUCCUGGCUCAGGAUGAACGCUGGCGGCGUGCUUAACACAUGCAAGUCGAGGGGCAGCAUGGUCUUAGCUUGCUAAGACCGAUGGCGACCGGCGCACGGGUGAGUAACGCGUAUCCAACCUGCCUUACACUCUUGGACAGCCUUCUGAAAGGGAGAUUAAUACAAGAUGUUAUCAUGAGUAAGCAUUUUCGCAUGAUUAAAGGUUUACCGGUGUAAGAUGGGGAUGCGUU
RNAcentral lists this ribosomal RNA (231 nucleotides) under uncultured bacterium. Its description in RNAcentral is "partial 16S ribosomal RNA". It matches the Rfam family "Bacterial small subunit ribosomal RNA", at positions 15 to 237 of the family's 1533-position model. The record is from RNAcentral.